Molecule: ribosomal RNA, 416 nt
Filed under: uncultured bacterium
Lineage: Bacteria
Description: bacterial SSU rRNA
Rfam family: Bacterial small subunit ribosomal RNA
Source: RNAcentral
GGGUGAGUAACACGUGAGCAACCUGCCCCUGGCUCUGGGAUAACUCCGGGAAACCGGAGCUAAUACCGGAUACGACCUUCCCCGGCAUCGGGUGGAGGUGGAAAGUUUUUCGGCUGGGGAUGGGCUCGCGGCUAUCAGCUUGUUGGUGGGGUAAUGGCCCACCAAGCCUUCGAUCAGUAACUGGUGUGAGAGCACGACCAGUCACACGGGCACUGAGACACGGGCCCGACUCCUACGGGAGGCAGCAGUAAGGAAUAUUGGUCAAUGGAGGCAACUCUGAACCAGCCAUGCCGCGUGAAGGAUGAAGGUCCUCUGGAUUGUAAACUUCUUUUAUGUGGGAAGAAAUGCAUUCUUUAUAGAGUGUUUGACGGUACCAUAGGAAUAAGCACCGGCUAACUCCGUGCCAGCAGCCGCGG